Taeniopygia guttata (zebra finch) is the source of this 2784-nucleotide non-coding RNA. NCBI's taxonomy places the organism in Eukaryota, Metazoa, Chordata, Aves, Passeriformes, Estrildidae. The record is from RefSeq and is a predicted model, not a curated record.
UCAGGAGCCGCGGCGGGCCGGGAGCGCUGCGGGGCCGGGGUAGAUCAUUCUAGGGCCGGGAUAGAUCGUUCCGGGGCCGGGAGCGCUCCGGGGCCGGGGUAGAUCGGUCUGGGGCCGGGAUAGAUCAUUCUAGGGCCGGGAUAGAUCGUUCUGGGGCCGGGAGCGCUGCGGGGCCGGGGUAGAUCGUUCUGGGGCCGGGAUAGAUCGUUCCGGGGCCGGGGUAGAUCGGUCUGGGGCCGGGAUAGAUCGUUCCGGGGCCGGGGUAGAUCGUUCUGGGGCCGGGAGAGCUCCGGGACCGGGGUAGAUAGUUCUGGGGCCGGGAUAGAUCGGUCUGGGGCCGGGAGCGCUCCGGGGCCGGUGCGGGGCGGGCCCGGCCCGGAUCGUUCCCGCGGCCGAGGUCCGGGCAGGGUCCGGACCUGCCGCCUUCCUGCCCUACAGGGGUAGCCAGCGGUGGCUGCAGCAGCGCAGGAAAGUACUUCAAGCCUCCUUCCAGCUUGAAGCCUGAGCUUCCUCUUCAUCUGGCAGCCACCCCAGUCAGCCUCCUCCCUUCUCAGCACCCUGGGCUCAUCCUGCAGAGCCGCUGCUGCUCCCAGAGCUCACCUGGCUGCGAGCAGCACGCUGUGCACCAGCCAAGGCUGCACAAACCUGCAGGCACGGGGGAGUUCAGUGCUGGGCUGGCCAGGCUGGCUGAAGUCAAACCUGCCCGUUGCUGCAGACACGUGCCUGCAGCAGGCGGUUGGUAUAUGAGAGUGUAAAUGAGUAACUUGGAGAAACCACAGUCAUGAGCAGGAUUGUCCUUCAUAAAUCACUGAUUUCUUUUUUAGCUCCAGAACAGAAUUCAUUCCCCAAGUUCAAGUAAGUUCUGCAUUUUUACUUCAUUAUUUUCCUUAGUAAAAUAUUUCAACAUCAGCUGGGUAGGAAUUUUGAAGCUAUUUCCUUAGACCGAAUUGCCUGCUCCAACAGUGCAAUUUUCCCCCUAAAUACAGUUUUUCCAACUGCAUCUGUAACUAAAAUAAAACUCUCCUUUCAUUCCUUCCCUGUGGCUGCAGUGUAUUCGUGAUCUCAAGUAGCAGGGAGGCUCCACUGUUCAAAAAAGGAACUUCAGGGAUGUUUUUGACAGCAGUGAUUGAGCAGGUGCUGCUCAGGAGCUGGCUCCUGCCUGGAUCCCACUCCAGCUCCAACUCAGAACUAAGGAACAUUUCCUCUGAAGUAAAGAAAAUGAAGUUUAACAGUUCACACACUGCUGCUCUUCCACUCGUGCAGCCCCAGCUGGCACCAAGAGCACAACAGGAAUCACCUGUCCAGGUGUCUGCAGGUCUGUUCAGCGUGCAGGAACAAUGAGAUGUCUCAGAAGAAGUCAAUGCAGUCACACUUUAAUGUGUCUUUACAUCCUUUUACGAUUCACAAAGUCAGAAUAUAAGUACUUAUACACUUUUAAUGGGGAAGUAAUGUAUCCCCCUAAAAGAAAAAUAGAUGUGAUUAAUCAUUUGUCAGAGAAGUUGCCUGACAGCUGAAACCUCAAGCUUCUAGGCAAAAAAAGCUCAAAUAGACAAAUUAUACUGAAUUGUUCUUUAAAGACCAAGCAGCUGUUUUAUUACAAUAUUAAAUUUACAUUUUAAAAAGAAAUAUUCUGAUUUAUUAUUCAGUUAUGAUAAUCUUAUUGAAGUGACAUGAAAAUCAUGACAAUGGGCUUUCUUCUUCCUCAGUCACCACAGGCAAUCUCAGCUCUAUGCAGGAUCCCACACCCAGAGCAGCACCAGUCUGGGAAGACAAACCCCAGACACUGGAUUUUAACUGGAAUCUUAAUUUUCCCCAGAAAAAGUGGUGUGUUGGGCUCUGUAACUCAGCUGGAUCCCUUGGUUCAGCCCCAAAGAACCCACCCAAACUUGUUCCAACAGAGAGAGGACAUCAGCCACCACCAAUACUUCACCCUGCAGCCCCCGGAAUGACCUUCGAACAACUGGGAGCAGGUUCAAUUUACAUUUUACUUCAAAAAAAAAGGGGGAAGUACAUACAUGAGGGGAGAACGGGGUGAACAAUAAUUAUCUGAAACCAGGUUUCCACCACUCUGACCCACAGCUCCCAGCGGCCUGUGGCUGGGGCCAGCGGCUCUCCAGGCUCACACCCGUGUUUGACAGCACGACCAGGACCGGGAUCACAGAAACCCUGGGGCAGCCGAGGCCGGAUGGAAGCAGUGAGAUCAUACACAGGGUGAGCGUGUCGGACACAGCUUCUGCUUUAAAUGAUGGAAUGCACCAGCAGGAGGGAGGGGUAGUUAACAGUUACUAACACUAGAAUAAUCAAAUUUGUAUGUUAUACAUAUACAGCAACUAACUGCUUUACAAAAAAAGCAAAAUAAUACAAUAUAUUGUCACAUGUAUUUACAGUGUAGUAAAUAUACUUUUCUGUCAAAUUUUACACAAAAACUAUUUACAGGUGAAUAUACUGCAUAAAAAAAAAAGGUGGGACCAACACUCUGAGUGACUGUCUGUGGUUUGUUGCAUAACAAUAGGACGUGCUUUGUGACUUCGGAAAAAAUUAACCUUAGAAUGAAACAGAAAAAGCCCUAAAACCUACAACCCGGGCCAGAGCCAGCCCCGGCACGCACCGGGGGCUCAGCCCACGAGACUCAGUGAAAUGUUCCCUGUCCUGGGAAACCUCAUGCAUGGUAAAGCAGAAACAUCGGCAUCAUUACAGGUAGGUUAUGCACUAUUCAAAUACUACUGAGUUAUCUUUAAGUCAGGGAAAGUACAAACACAAACAGAAUGUUAAUUGUCUUUACAG